AGAGGAUUUGAAAAGAGAAAAUUAAGAGGUUUGAGCUGCUACUACUGCGUAAUCGAAUUCAAUUAGUAAGUUUUAACUAAAGCUCCUCCACCGAGUCUAAGCACUGGCAAAGACGAUGUCGGCCGCGGUAGAGCAAUCGCGUAAGAAAGCGUCUCCGUCUCCGUCGUCUGGGUUAUGGUCUUUGCCAGAUGAGAUUGCUAUAGAUUGCUUUGCCCGCGUGUCAAGAGUAGACCAUGCAGCCUUAUCUAUGACCUCAAAGAGCAACCGCUCACUGGUGGUUUCGCCUGAGUUAUACGAGACACGAUCCCGGAUGGGUUGCACGGAGGAGUGCGUGUAUGUAUUCAUUGACUCUCCAUUUGAGCCAAACCCGCGCUGGUUCAUCCUCCGCCGAGGACGAGGCUCUGUAAAUAAUAAUCGGAAUCGGCUGAUCCCGAUCCCGUCGUUCCCAACUCCGCGAUCAGCGACCUUGGUUUCCCUGGGGUGUGGGAUCUAUGUAAUUGGCGGAUUUAAAAAAUGCUUGAAAACCGCGCUUGUCUCGUACCUGGAUUGUCGGACUCACACGUGGAGCUACCUCCCUUCCAUGAGUGUUGCUCGCGCUGAGGCCCGUGCUGGCGUCUUAGACGGCAAGAUAUACGUGUUUGGAGGCUGCGUGGAGGAUCCCUCAAUCUGGGCAGAGGUAUUCGACCCAAAGUUGCAAACUUGGAGUAGAGUUGUUAUCCCGGAGGACCUGAUGAAAGCGACAGAGGUUAGCAAGGUGGUGCAGGGGGAGGAGACUAUUACUGUGUCCUGCAACUUUCCGAGGGACAAGGUUUGUGGAAUGAUUUUAAUUUUUGUGCAACAGAUAGAUUGUUAUACUGUACUUAUGCCGACGGGUCUAUAAUGUGGUGUGACCCUCUGAGCGGGGUAAGGCAAGGGGCCAUGGUUUGGAGGCAUGUGUAUGGUUUAAAUGCUCUGAAACCCCUUUUAUCCACUUAUCCCGUUUCCGAUUCCAAUUCUAUCUUUUUCCGUGGGGACUUGGCUGAUGUGUGGCAGUGCUAUUUGCUCAGUCAUGGUCACAAAAACGGCCUCGAUGGCUUCAUGCCAGGCAACAAACUCGUCACCUCUUCUCGUGGCAACAUUCUCGUCUUCUGGGACGUCCUCGUUGGGGAUGCUGAUCCCAAGACACUGGAGAUUUGGUGUGCUGAGAUUUCGAUGCAGAUGUGGGAAGGCUACAUGUGGGGGAACGUCCUCUGGUCCGAGGUUGUCUUCUCCACUGACCCCCGCUUUGGAUUCCAUGUUUGCUACUCUGUUUCGCACUCUGUUUCUGUCCAUGUUUGAAUUAGCUGCUUCUCUACUUUUUUUUUUUUUUUUUUUUUUUUUUUGNUUAUUUAAGGUUUUAGUGAAAUCAUUACUCUUGUCUUGUAUCAUCAAAAGCUGCAUUAAGUUUGCUCUCUUUCCUUAUAUCUGGCUCCCCUAUUGGGUUUUCUUUUUGCUUUUGAAUAUUAUCUGCUUUUUUUUUUCAUUGCACCACAGUCCCCUUGUUCUAAGUUAUGUUUUCAUUAGCAGUUUUCUCAGGGUUAAUAUAUCUGCCAUUGACACACUGUGAAGGAAAAGUUUGUUGAAGAUCAUUUAUCCGCAGAUUCCAGUUCAGGGUGGCCUACCAUUGCCAGAAUAGCUCGUGGAUCUGGUUAUACAUUUUCUAAUGGUUGAUGACACUGAUCUGGCGUUAUUUGAGCAAAGUGCACAAGAGUAGCUGUAGAGGCUAUUUCUUCUAGGAUUUGGAUUAGUACGGGAAAGGUGAUCGGCGUAGCAAUUCUCGAAACUUUGUAGUAAACAAGAACGCGAGCCACCCUCAAAAGUAUUUCAUUCGUCUGAACUCAAUGAACAAAGACAGAAGGCGAUUAAGCAUUCACGACAUCACUCAUGGCUUAUGGAGUCCAUGCGGCCCCAGUCCCUGGCUCACAAGUUCCUGGUGCACCAAUGAACAUGGGUCGAAUGCUGUACACCAACGGCUCAUAGGUAACACGAAACACCUUUGUUUGUGACAGUGCACUUCGUUUUUGGUGUAAAAAAGAUGUGUAAAGGAUUUAGUGAACACCCAAUGUUCUUUUUAAAUGAGCUUUCUUAUUUUGUGGGGGUUGUUAUGAGGUUCCAAUAAAGAUGAUUAGAUUAGUUUGUGAACACAAUAAAGAAGCCUGUUAUGAAA
Camelina sativa (false flax) is the source of this 2185-nucleotide non-coding RNA. The record is from RefSeq and is a predicted model, not a curated record. Lineage: Eukaryota; Viridiplantae; Streptophyta; Magnoliopsida; Brassicales; Brassicaceae.